Molecule: ribosomal RNA, 213 nt
Filed under: uncultured bacterium
Lineage: Bacteria
Description: partial 16S ribosomal RNA
Rfam family: Bacterial small subunit ribosomal RNA
Source: RNAcentral
ACGGGGACAACAUUCCGAAAGGGAUGCUAAUACCGGAUGUGACGCUCCUAUCGCAUGACGGGAGCGUGAAAGAUGGCCUCUACAUGUAAGCUAUCGCUAAAGGAUGGGCCUGCGUCUGAUUAGCUAGUUGGUAGUGUAACGGACAACCAAGGCGAUGAUCAGUAGCCGGUCUGAGAGGAUGAAUGGCCACAUUGGGACUGAGACACGGCCCAG